CACGCCGUAAACGAUGAGUGCUAGGUGUUGGGGGUCAAACCUCAGUGCCGCAGUUAACGCAUUAAGCACUCCGCCUGGGGAGUACGUUCGCAAGAAUGAAACUCAAAGGAAUUGACGGGGACCCGCACAAGCAGCGGAGCAUGUGGUUUAAUUCGAAGCAACGCGAAGAACCUUACCUGGACUUGACAUCCCUUGGCCCACUUCUUAAUCGAAGUUUUCCCUUCGGGGACCGAGGAGACAGGUGG
Molecule: ribosomal RNA, 245 nt
Filed under: uncultured Alkaliphilus sp.
Lineage: Bacteria; Bacillati; Bacillota; Clostridia; Peptostreptococcales; Natronincolaceae
Description: partial 16S ribosomal RNA
Rfam family: Bacterial small subunit ribosomal RNA
Source: RNAcentral